Molecule: ribosomal RNA, 486 nt
Filed under: uncultured bacterium
Lineage: Bacteria
Description: bacterial SSU rRNA
Rfam family: Bacterial small subunit ribosomal RNA
Source: RNAcentral
GACGAACGCUGGCGGCGUGCCUAACACAUGUAAGUCGAACGGGAUUGGGGGGGCAACUCUCCAAUUCAGUGGCAGACGGGUGCGUAACACGUGAGAAACUUGUCCAUCGGUGGGGGAUAGCCGGCCCAACGGCCGGUUAAUACCGCGUACGAUCGUUUGGGGGCAUCCCCGAAUGAUGAAAGCAUCGCAAGAUGCGCCGGCGGAGAGUCUCGCGGCCUAUCAGCUAGUUGGCGGGGUAACGGCCCACCAAGGCGACGACGGGUAGCUGGUCUGAGAGGAUGGCCAGCCACAUUGGGACUGAGACACGGCCCAGACUCCUACGGGAGGCAGCAGUGGGGAAUCUUGCGCAAUGGCCGCAAGGCUGACGCAGCGACGCCGCGUGUGGGAUGAAGGCCUUCGGGUUGUAAACCACUGUCAGGGGGAACGAAUACACGCUUCGUGCGUGGGUGACGGUACCUCCAAAGGAAGCACCGGCUAACUCCGUGC